Molecule: ribosomal RNA, 301 nt
Filed under: uncultured bacterium
Lineage: Bacteria
Description: partial 16S ribosomal RNA
Rfam family: Bacterial small subunit ribosomal RNA
Source: RNAcentral
CAGCAGCCGCGGGAAAACGGAGGGGGCUAGCGUUGUUCGGAAUUACUGGGCGUAAAGCGCACGUAGGCGGCUUGGUAAGUUAGAGGUGAAAGCCCGGAGCUCAACUCCGGAAUUGCCUUUAAGACUGCCGAGCUAGCAGGUGAGAGAGGUAAGUGGAAUUCCGAGUGUAGAGGUGAAAUUCGUAGAUAUUCGGAAGAACACCAGUGGCGAAGGCGGCUUACUGGCUCAUACUGGACGCUGAGGUGCGAAAGCGUGGGGAGCAAACAGGAUUAGAUACCCCUGUAGUCCCUGUCUCUUAUAC